GAUGAACGCUAGCGGCAGGCCUAAUACAUGCAAGUCGGACGGGAUCCGGGAGUAGCUUGCUACUUCCGGUGAGAGUGGCGCACGGGUGCGUAACGCGUGAGCAACCUGCCCAUAUCAGGGGGAUAGCCCGGAGAAAUCCGGAUUAACACCGCAUGACACGCCGGGACGGCAUCGUUCCGGCGUCAAAUAUUCAUAGGAUAUGGAUGGGCUCGCGUGACAUUAGCUAGUUGGUGGGGUAACGGCCCACCAAGGCGACGAUGUCUAGGGGCUCUGAGAGGAGAAUCCCCCACACUGGUACUGAGACACGGACCAGACUCCUACGGGAGGCAGCAGUAAGGAAUAUUGGUCAAUGGGGGCAACCCUGAACCAGCCAUGCCGCGUGCAGGACGACUGCCCUAUGGGUUGUAAACCGCUUUUGCCGGGGAAUAAACCCCACUACGUGUAGUGGGCUGAACGUACCCGGAGAAUAAGGAUCGGCUAACUCCGUGCCAGCAGCCGCCGUAA
RNAcentral lists this ribosomal RNA (504 nucleotides) under uncultured bacterium. RNAcentral describes it as "partial 16S ribosomal RNA". It matches the Rfam family "Bacterial small subunit ribosomal RNA", at positions 28 to 523 of the family's 1533-position model. The record is from RNAcentral.